UAAUACGUAGGGGGCGAGCGUUGUCCGGAAUUAUUGGGCGUAAAGCGCGCGCAGGCGGCUCUUUAAGUCUGAUGUGAAAGCCCGCGGCUCAACCGCGGAGGGUCAUUGGAAACUGGGGAGCUUGAGUGCAGGAGAGGAGAGUGGAAUUCCACGUGUAGCGGUGAAAUGCGUAGAGAUGUGGAGGAACACCAGUGGCGAAAGCGGCUCUCUGGCCUGUCACUGACGCUGAGGCGCGAAAGCGUGGGGAGCAAACAGGAUUAGAUACCCUGGUAGUCCACGCCGUAAACGAUGAGUGCUAGGUGUUAGGGGGGUCCAACCCCUUAGUGCUGAAGGAAACCCAUUAAGCACUCCGCCUGGGGAGUACGACCGCAAGGUUGAA
Molecule: ribosomal RNA, 379 nt
Filed under: uncultured bacterium
Lineage: Bacteria
Description: bacterial SSU rRNA
Rfam family: Bacterial small subunit ribosomal RNA
Source: RNAcentral